Ceratobasidium sp. 395 is the source of this 86-nucleotide non-coding RNA. The record is from the annotation of a GenBank genome assembly. Lineage: Eukaryota; Fungi; Basidiomycota; Agaricomycetes; Cantharellales; Ceratobasidiaceae.
GGGCAUGUAGCGCAGUUGGUAGCGCGCUCGCUUAGCAUCUUGAUCUGAUCUGCGAGAGGUCUUGGGUUCAAAUCCCAACUUGUCCA